This 395-nucleotide ribosomal RNA is filed under the name uncultured bacterium. RNAcentral describes it as "partial 16S ribosomal RNA". The record is from RNAcentral.
CGGGCGGUGUGUACAAGGCCCGGGAACGUAUUCACCGCGACAUGCUGAUUCGCGAUUACUAGCAACUCCAGCUUCAUGUAGGCGAGUUUCAGCCUACAAUCCGAACUGAGACAAGUUUUUGAGUUUUGCUCCACCUCGCGGUCUUGCUUCUCUUUGUACUUGCCAUUGUAGCACGUGUGUAGCCCUAGACAUAAGGGGCAUGAUGAUUUGACGUCAUCCCCACCUUCCUCCCGGUUAACCCGGGCAGUCUCGCUAGAGUGCUCAACUAAAUGGUANCAACUAACAAUAAGGGUUGCGCUCGUUGCGGGACUUAACCCAACAUCUCACGACACGAAGCUGACGACAACCAUGCACCACCUGUCUUCCUGUCCCCGAAGGAACUUCCCCGAUUAAGA